CCCUUAACCAGAUAAACUGUUGAUUGUUGAC
This 31-nucleotide non-coding RNA is filed under the name Rattus norvegicus (Norway rat). Lineage: Eukaryota; Metazoa; Chordata; Mammalia; Rodentia; Muridae. The record is from RNAcentral.